RNAcentral lists this ribosomal RNA (253 nucleotides) under uncultured bacterium. RNAcentral describes it as "partial 16S ribosomal RNA". It matches the Rfam family "Bacterial small subunit ribosomal RNA", at positions 524 to 776 of the family's 1533-position model. The record is from RNAcentral.
UACGAAGGGUGCAAGCGUUACUCGGAAUUACUGGGCGUAAAGCGUGCGUAGGUGGUUCGUUAAGUCUGAUGUGAAAGCCCUGGGCUCAACCUGGGAAUGGCAUUGGAAACUGGCGACCUAGAGUGCGGUAGAGGGUAGUGGAAUUCCCGGUGUAGCAGUGAAAUGCGUAGAGACCGGGAGGAACAUCCGUGGCGAAGGCGACUACCUGGACCAGCACUGACACUGAGGCACGAAAGCUGGGGGAGCAAACGGG